CCAUUUUCCGUUAGAUAUUCUCACAGAUCCUAAGGGGCUUUUAUAUAAUUCUAAAUUAAUUAAUAAUAAUAAUAAAAUCAACAUGUUGGAGAUUUUGUUUACAUUUAACUUAGAGUGAGCGAGAAAAAGGCAAUUCUUGAACAUGGGGUGAGACAUUCUCACUAAUUUGUAAAUAAAGCCAGUUUGUUAUUUAGAAUUAUUAAUUUCUAAAGAAACCUAACUUGAUUAUUUAGCAGACAUCACUUGCUUAUAUUCAUGAAGAUGAUGAGCGAUUGCAAAGGCAAUCUGUAAUCUGCUGGCAUCACGGCACAACAUCAACAUCGCUCUAAUUACAGUCAGAAGACAGUUGAAGAAACUUGCGUGGACUUAUGGAAAGGCUCGGUAAGAAAUUAUAUAUAUAUUAUUUCAAAAAAAUCAUCAUAACAUUACCCAUGUGUGUUCGCUUGUUUUGUACUGUUCUGGAGUUUCGACCCAAUGAUUCAUCUGACAAACAAAGAACUUUGUGUCCUGCAGGCCCAGGCAUGGAUCAAAACUGGUGAGACAUUCAAUAACGUCAUCUUCACAGACGAAUCAACCGUGGCCCUUGAGCAAUUUGCUCAAAAUUGCUACAGAAACAAAGGAAGAAGAUCAAGCAAGCUGAGUCCCAAGCAUCCGCUCAAACUCCAUGUGUGGGGGGCCAUGUCUCGCCAGGAACCUGGCCCAUAUUCUUUGAGGAAGAAAUCAUCAAGAGAUAUGCUGAACCCUAUGUCAGAAAGGUGUUUCUGGGUACACAUCAUUUCUUUCAAGACAAUGACCCAAAACACUGCCGCCCGGGUUUGCAUUGCAAAUGACGGCAUAAACUGGGUCAAGACGCCAGCAGAGUCUCCUGAUUUGAACUUGUUUGGCAUCAACUGAAAACUGAAACUGAAAAUUAAUUUGUAACUGUGCCAACCCGACAAGCAACUAUGAACUGGUCAAGGCCAUCAAGAUGUUUUGGCUAGAGAAAUUGACGAUACAACAAUGCAGGGUUUUACCUGUGGUCGUGGAGCUGGGUGGAAGUGCGACUAAAAUGUAGUUUAUAUAAAUAUCUGCAUUUGAAUGUCUUUUUUCUCGUUAUUUUAUUAAUGAAGAAAUACUGUACUACUGUUUUGAGUUAAAUCUAACACUUUAGAGUACUUAACCUGAAAUGUAUUCGAUGCUUGAGGGAUUUUCACAACAGUAGCCAGGUUAUACAAAGUCUAUUAUCUUGCUAAUAGGAAACAUUUGCAUGAUGGGCUACACCUGCUACAGUUGAUGUGUUCACUAUUAUUCUACA
Long non-coding RNA from Salvelinus namaycush (lake trout), 1294 nucleotides. RefSeq lists it as uncharacterized. NCBI's taxonomy places the organism in Eukaryota, Metazoa, Chordata, Actinopteri, Salmoniformes, Salmonidae. The record is from RefSeq and is a predicted model, not a curated record. The transcript has 3 exons.